Solanum pennellii is the source of this 329-nucleotide long non-coding RNA. RefSeq lists it as uncharacterized. The transcript is spliced from 2 exons. Lineage: Eukaryota; Viridiplantae; Streptophyta; Magnoliopsida; Solanales; Solanaceae. The record is from RefSeq and is a predicted model, not a curated record.
UUUGAGAUCAACUUCAAAUAUUCAUUAAGAAUGGCUAAGUUUUUAAACUCAAUUCUUUGCUUCUUUCUUAUUCUGUCAGUUACAAUGACAAGUACACAAGUGAAAGCUCAACAAAGAUGUUCUGAGACAUUGAAGGCCUCAGAUUGCACCAUGGCUGAGUGUCAAAGUGAAUGCUUACAAAAACAUAAUGGAACUGGAGUUUGUACUGGCGGCAAUAUAGGCCCCUUAAGUUGUGUUUGUGUUUACAAUUGCUAGCUUCAAUAUUUUGAAUUCUCCCAUUUUAUGAGAGAAAAAAAGAGUUAUCAAUAAAAUAUUAAUCAAUUUCCUAA